UUCUUUCUCUCUUUUUAUUCUUUCUUUGUCUUUCUCUUCUUUCCUUUUCUCUCUCUGUUUUUUUCUUUUCUCAUGCCUCCCCUAUCUGUCAUGCACGGCAGCACUCACUGUCGAGUGUGAUGUUUUUCUCUCUUUUCUCUGUCUGUUGCGCAUGGCAGUGUACACUGUCGACGUGACAUUUCUCUUUCUCUUCUUUAUGUCUCACACGGCAGUGCACACUGUCGCGUGCGACCUUCUCUCUCUUCUCUCUGUCUUGCACGACAAUGCACAUUAUCGAGCAUGACUUUCUCUCUCUUCUUUCUUUUCUCUUCUCUCUGUCUCGCACGGUUGUACACACUGUCGAGCGUAACCUUUUCUCUCUUCUCUUUGUCUCGUACGGCAGUGUACACUGUCGAGCACAAUCUUCUCUCUCUUCUCUCUGUCUUGCACGACAGUGCACACUGUCAGGCACGACCUUCUUUUUCUUCUCUCUAUCUCGCAUGGCGAUAAACACUGUCGGGCGUGACACUUCCUUCUCUCUCUUUCCUCUCCAUCUUGUAUGGCAGUAAAUACUGCCAAGCGCGACAUUUUUUUUCUCCUUUCUUCUUUCUCUCCUUUGCUUGUUUGACCAAAGGGCAGGCUGAGCCUUGUGUCAGUCUUAUCGCCGAGCAGUUUAGUCGUUGUACCAGUCAAGUUACCGAGCCCGUCUAGCCACCGUGUCAGACCAGCCGCUGUACCUGACCAGCUGUCGUGCCAGUCUUGUCGUCGAGCAGUUUAGACAUCGUGCCGGUCAAGUUAUUGAGUCCAUCUAGCUGUCACAUUAGACCAGCCGCUGUGCCAGACCAGCUGUCGUGCAAGUCCUAAGAAUACAUCUUUAAAGAGUAAAAAGAAACAGGUCAAGAGAGGCGAUUCCGAACAAGCCACAAGCUAGAGGGGACAUUCCAUGUGAUCCAAGAGGGUGCCCAUGCGAGCUAGCCUGAGCGUGUCAUGGACCCACGUGUCUUUCCUCAUGUGGUUCCCCGAGAGAGCAGUCUCGAGUCUCGGGUCCAUCUCGAAUCUGGAACCAUACCACUAGGUCAACCCGACCCGGAGGGCGAGAUCGAUGCAUAUAACCAAACGCGUGGAUACAAGUAUUCUGACGCGGGUCCAUAACACAAGAGAGGAAACAAUACCAAUAAAGGACCUCUCUGUUUCUCUCCACAAGAAAACACUUAUGUAUUUCAUCAAAUUCAAUUCCAUCUCCCUUUGCAUGGUGCGUGCAUCCUUU
Molecule: long non-coding RNA, 1246 nt
Organism: Amborella trichopoda
Lineage: Eukaryota; Viridiplantae; Streptophyta; Magnoliopsida; Amborellales; Amborellaceae
Source: RefSeq, a predicted model, not a curated record